GGUUGACCUCGGAUCAGGUAGGGAUACCCGCUGAACUUAAGCAUAUCAAUAAGCGGAGGAAAAGAAACCAACAGGGAUUGCCCCAGUAACGGCGAGUGAAGCGGCAAGAGCUCAAAUUUGAAAGCUGGCUCCUUCGGGGUCCGCAUUGUAAUUUGCAGAGGAUGCUUCGGGAGCGGUCCCCAUCUAAGUGCCCUGGAACGGGACGUCAUAGAGGGUGAGAAUCCCGUAU
This 229-nucleotide ribosomal RNA is filed under the name Penicillium clavigerum. RNAcentral describes it as "partial 28S ribosomal RNA". It matches the Rfam family "Eukaryotic large subunit ribosomal RNA", at positions 1 to 226 of the family's 3401-position model. RNAcentral also lists the same sequence under 8 other names. Lineage: Eukaryota; Fungi; Ascomycota; Eurotiomycetes; Eurotiales; Aspergillaceae. The record is from RNAcentral.